GAUGAACGCUGGCGGCGUGCCUAAUACAUGCAAGUCGAGCGAACGGACGAGAAUCUUGCUUCUCUGAUGUUAGCGGCGGACGGGUGAGUAACACGUGGAUAACCUACCUAUAAGACUGGGAUAACUUCGGGAAACCGUAGCUAAUACCGGAUAAUAUUUUGAACCGCAUGGUUCAAAAGUGAAAGACGGUCUUGCUGUCACUUAUAGAUGGAUCCGCGCUUCAUUAGCUAGUUGGUGAGGUAACGGCUUACCAAGGCAACGAUGCAUAGCCGACCUGAGAGGGUGAUCGGCCACACUGGAACUGAGACACGGUCCAGACUCCUACGGGAGGCAGCAGUAGGGAAUCUUCCGCAAUGGGCGAAAGCCUGACGGAGCAACGCCGCGUGAGUGAUGAAGGUCUUCGGAUCGUAAAACUCUGUUAUUAGGGAAGAACAUAUGUGUAAGUAACUGUGCACAUCUUGACGGUACCUAAUCAGAAAGCCACGGCUAACUACGUG
Molecule: ribosomal RNA, 497 nt
Filed under: uncultured bacterium
Lineage: Bacteria
Description: partial 16S ribosomal RNA
Rfam family: Bacterial small subunit ribosomal RNA
Source: RNAcentral